Cavia porcellus (domestic guinea pig) is the source of this 2279-nucleotide long non-coding RNA. RefSeq lists it as uncharacterized. The record is from RefSeq and is a predicted model, not a curated record. NCBI's taxonomy places the organism in Eukaryota, Metazoa, Chordata, Mammalia, Rodentia, Caviidae. The transcript has 3 exons.
UCCUUAGGUCAGUGCAGAGUCCAGCUCCAAACCCAAACAAAACCCUAGAACCUGACUAGGUGUUAUGGUGCAUUCUUGUAAUCCUAGCACUCUGGAGAUGGAGGCAGGAGGACUGCAAAUCUGAGCCUAGCCUGGGCAAUUUAGUGUCUUAGAAGACCCUGCAUUGAAACAAGUUGUUGAUGGAGAUUGGAUGGAGGGGAGUAGUGAGGCAUGACUGCCACGGUCCGGGAGGAUGGGAUGAGGGUCUGAAGCAGUGACUUCUUUACAAAUCACAGCAAAAGCCCAAUCAGCCCAAGCUGUUUACUUUUUCUGCAUCAUCCUCCAUCCCACCUCACAGUCAGACCUGUUGCCUCUGCCUUGUGUGUGCCUCCAUUCCUGUCUUGGAAACAUCUGCUCAUCCUACAGAACGUAGCUCCAUCUUCACCUCCUCUGUGAAGCCCUCAGUCAGAAUGUAGGUCCCCUGAUGUCCUCGAGGCCUUUGCUACAUCAUUUUGUAACAUUCUGCCAAGGUUCUCUGUGCCUGUUCCUCUCCAUGUGGGCUGGGUAAGCCCACAGCAGGUUUGGUGAAUGCACCGAGGGCCACCUUGCCACAUCCAAAUAGCCUUUUUUGUUUGUCUCUCUGUCUUUUUGAUACAUGGUCAUGGUAUGUAGUUCAGACUGGCCUUGAACUAACCAUGUAGUCCAAGCUGACCUUGAAUUCCUGGUCAUUCCCGUCUCAGCCUCCUAAAUUCUGGGAUUACAGAAAUGUGUGCCACCAUGCCUGUUCCAACAUCUUUUGUGUCCUCUAACACCACAUCAUCCCAGGCAAGGUACCUAUAUUUGAAAAAAAAUUUAAAAGCAGAAUAUAAUAUAUAUAGAUUUUUUCAGUAGAAUAUGUUUGAAAUUUUAAGCUUCAGAACAUGACAAAAAAGUUGUUUUCCCAGCGUAUAUUAAUCAAAAACUUGCAUCUUGCCAAUCAAGAAAAAGAUGAAGGGAAGAAUUAAUUGGCAAGCAUCACCUGUAAGGUUUGUUUUGAACUUGGAAUCUCACUAGAUCCUUGAGAUAACACUCUGAGAGAUUACUACAAAUCAGAUAAAUGAGGUUCAGAGGAGUUGUGACCUGCCCAAAGUCUCACAGCUAGCCAAAGCCAGAAUUGGAUUCAAACCCCAAGGAGCCUGCCUUGGGGUCCCAGCUAUGCUGUUACCAUUUGCUUUUAAUCAUCAUGAGAUGACAGCAUGAUCUGGAGGAAUCUGGAGCUGGCUUCAGUCAUCCCAGAGACUGGGUUCUCAAAUAUGCUUUCUGUACAGCUAGCAGGAGCCUAUGGGAGCCUAAGGAAAACCUAAGGAAGCAUCGAGCCUCCAGCAGGCGCCCAGGGCAGGUUAUCUUCCUGCCCAGUUGAUUCGAGUCCAGAUUCUUUCAACUCAGUCAUUCAAGAUAGGGCUUCUUCUGGAAGGAAUGUGGCGUGAGCAUGAGGAGGACAGUUCUGGCCAGCCAAAAAGGAAGAGGGCAUCAGUCCCACCCUUUCCUCUGAGGCCAGGCCCUGGGCUUUUGCCCAAGGAACCCUCAUCUGAUCGAAAAAGCUCCAAGGCCUCCUGUAGCUUGUUCACUUGGUCACUAGGGCUGCCUCAGUGCUGCACCAUGGCCUCAGAUGCCCUGGCUCUUUGAGCCCAGCCUGACAGCUCCUGGCCUCUUCAUUCUGUGACUCUCACAGCUCCUCAGCAAUCAGAGUAGUGUUUUCUGUGUCUUCUGGGCAAAAGGAACUUGAACUUGGAAGAGUCUAAGAUGAGAAGACCCUGAGACAGUGGUUGGUGGUGGGCUGGCAGGGGCAGGACAGGCAGCCCUGAGGACUCUGGGCAUUCCACAUGUCCUCCAGUGCCCUGAGAACUGAGGCUUAGAAGUCAGAUGCAUCAGUCAGCCCUGCAGAGGAGGCCUCUGUUUGGAUUAGCCCACAGCCUCAUGAGAUCAGAUGAGUUAGUCUUUGGGCCUCUCCUGCCCACUUGUUGCCCAACCAAUAUCCAGGUAGGAAUUCACAGCCUCAAGUGACUUCAAGCACCCUCUAGUACUUCCCCAAAGAGCCUCUUUGGGAACCUCAAGAAUUCUUCCUUCACAUUUUCUGUUCUUCUUUUCUCCACAUGUCACACAAAUGAAUGAGACUGGGAACAAGCUGUGAUGUCUGCAUCUCAUCAGCUCUUCCAGGAAUCCCUUCCUCUAGGGCCUGCCCAACCUUUCUUUGUUCAAUCUGGUGAUUUGCUGGAGCAUCAUCACCCAGAGUGUAUCUUGUGAUUUUUUUUUUUUUUUUU